RNAcentral lists this ribosomal RNA (598 nucleotides) under uncultured bacterium. RNAcentral describes it as "bacterial SSU rRNA". It matches the Rfam family "Bacterial small subunit ribosomal RNA", at positions 334 to 945 of the family's 1533-position model. The record is from RNAcentral.
UACUCCUACGGGAGGCAGCAGUGGGGAAUUUUACGCAAUGGGCGAAAGCCUGACGUAGCGACACCGCGUGAGCGAAGAAGCCCCUUGGGGUGUAAAGCUCUGUCAGCUGGAACGAAAAAAAUGACGGUACCAGCAGAGGAAGCAUCGGCUAACUACGUGCCAGCAGCCGCGGUAAGACGUAGGAUGCAAGCGUUGUCCGGAUUUAUUGGGCGUAGAGAGUUCGUAGGUGAUUUGUUAAGUUUGGUGUUAAAGAUUGGGGCUCAACCCUGAAACUGCACUGAAUACUGGCAGACUCGAGUGUGGUAGAGGCUAGUGGAAUUCCCAGUGUAGCGGUGAAAUGCGUAGAUAUUGGGAAGAACACCGGUGGCGUAGGCGACUAGCUGGGCCAUAACUGACACUGAGGAACGAAAGCCAGGGGAGCGAAUGGGAUUAGAUACCCCAGUAGUCCUGGCCGUAAACGAUGGAUACUAGGUGUGGGGGACAUCCAACGUUGACGGCGCCGUACCUAACGCAUUAAGUGCCCCGCUUGGUGAGAACGGCCGCAAGGCGAAAACUAAAGGGAUUGACGGGGGCCCCACAAGCGGUGGAAGCAUGUGGA